RNAcentral lists this ribosomal RNA (894 nucleotides) under uncultured Alphaproteobacteria bacterium. Its description in RNAcentral is "bacterial SSU rRNA". It matches the Rfam family "Bacterial small subunit ribosomal RNA", at positions 8 to 949 of the family's 1533-position model. The record is from RNAcentral. Lineage: Bacteria; Pseudomonadati; Pseudomonadota; Alphaproteobacteria.
AGGGUUUGAUCAUGGCUCAGAACGAACGCUGGCGGCAGGCCUGACACAUGCAAGUCGAGCGCUACCUUCGGGUGGAGCGGCGGACGGGUUAGUAACGCGUGGGAACGUACCCAGAUCUAAGGAAUAGCCACUGGAAACGGUGAGUAAUACCUUAUACGCCCUUCGGGGGAAAGAUUUAUCGGAUUUGGAUCGGCCCGCGUUAGAUUAGAUAGUUGGUGGGGUAAUGGCCUACCAAGUCUACGAUCUAUAGCUGGUUUUAGAGGAUGAUCAGCAACACUGGGACUGAGACACGGCCCGGACUCCUACGGGAGGCAGCAGUGGGGAAUCUUGGACAAUGGGCGCAAGCCUGAUCCAGCCAUGCCGCGUGAGUGAUGAAGGCCUUAGGGUCGUAAAGCUCUUUCGCCAGAGAUGAUAAUGACAGUAUCUGGUAAAGAAACCCCGGCUAACUCCGUGCCAGCAGCCGCGGUAAUACGGAGGGGGUUAGCGUUGUUCGGAAUUACUGGGCGUAAAGCGUACGUAGGCGGAUUAGUCAGUCAGAGGUGAAAUCCCAGGGCUCAACCCUGGAACUGCCUUUGAUACUGCUAGUCUUGAGUUCGAGAGAGGUGGGUGGAAUUCCAAGUGUAGAGGUGAAAUUCGUAGAUAUUUGGAGGAACACCAGUGGCGAAGGCGGCUCACUGGCUCGAUACUGACGCUGAGGUACGAAAGUGUGGGGAGCAAACAGGAUUAGAUACCCUGGUAGUCCACACCGUAAACGAUGAAUGCCAGUCGUCGGGCAGUAUACUGUUCGGUGACACACCUAACGGAUUAAGCAUUCCGCCUGGGGAGUACGGUCGCAAGAUUAAAACUCAAAGGAAUUGACGGGGGCCCGCACAAGCGGUGGAGCAUGUGGUUUAA